RNAcentral lists this long non-coding RNA (14503 nucleotides) under Coffea arabica (coffee). RNAcentral describes it as "long non-coding RNA (CARA_LNC001823)". The record is from RNAcentral. Lineage: Eukaryota; Viridiplantae; Streptophyta; Magnoliopsida; Gentianales; Rubiaceae.
CUGCCAAUGAUGUUAACAACAUUGUCAUAUUGACACUUUAUUCUGGCAAAAGAUAUGUACAGGAGGCCAUUAAUUUUGAAUAUACUCUCAAAUCUCGAGUGAUCGAGAAUGCGGAUAUUGGAGGCUUGGAAACUAAUUUAGUUCGAAUCUUGACAUUUAGUUUUUUCUUUUUAUAUUUUUAACAAAUUGGAUUAUGUACUUACUAAACACAAGUUGUAUUGCAUAAUGUGUUGCCUAAUUCAUGGCAUUUGAUAAACUUUUGGGAAGACAAUCUAGCUGUUGUACUAACUAUUAUUCUUGAAUACAACCAAUUUAUUGAUAUGCAUAAGAAUUAAUCUUGUAUACACUGACAGUGUAUACACUUUCACCAUUGGAUGCAUGACACAUAAUCUGAAUUUGAUUUUGAAACCCAAAUUUUGUACAUGUGUCAUGUAUCCAAUCGUGAUAGUGUAUAUACUGUCAGUGUACAAUCAUACUUUAUUAAGCACUGUACAAUAUAUUUUCAUGGACAAAUUACAUCGCUGCUAAAUAAUGUCAAUCACAAAGCAAUCCUAGGCAUUAACUCCAUACUGCGCAUUUGCACGGUGAUCCAUUCCUGGUCAAAUAUAUAACGGUUUUGAAGUUGGAGUUAGCAUGAUUGCAUUCAUAUCCAUUCUCCUCUCCAGGUGCAUGGUGAUUGUCUAUUUGAUUAAUUGAAACCAGUAUUCUCGAAGUUGUUUUACAUUUGGAUGCUCUGCAUUUGUAUUUGAGAGACAGAGCUUUGGUUGGUGUCUUGACAGAGGUGCUGGGUAAGGAAUACGAAGAUUGUCCAGUAUCUAGAUCCUCAAAGCCUUCUUGUCGAGCCUAUCCAGGUACUCUUUGUACAAAGAAUUUGGAUCUGAAUUGCAAAGUAUUAUUGCUGAUAUACUCCCUUUAUUUGGACUGGCUUCUCGUAUUUACAAUUUGAUACCUAUUCCUUUGAGCUUUAUUGAACUCUAUGUAGCAUUUGAGGUAUUAGGAUUACACAUCAUCAAUGACGUUAUAACAGACCUUCCAAACAAUAGAAAAAGAAGUAGAAUAAUCCACACACGAACAGCAAGAGUAGAUAAAGGAGCUGAAGCUGCUAGAGCUAGGAGCUGCUGGCCUUGCUUGUGUCCGGUUUUCAAUCGUCGGACGCAAGAGUAUAUGCCUGGAGUCCAGUAGCCCUAUAGGGCAAUCACCUUUCAAGAAAGGAACGUUACCCCCCUAGCGUUGCUUUCCCCCCUCAUAGCUGUAGUAGACCGUAUAAUUUAAGUCCAGAUACCCACAUAAAUAAUUGUAUAGGCCUAAGGUUCGGACCCAUUUGAUUUUUCUUAUUCUAGAUGGGCCCUCAAUAAUAAUAGACAAUAGCCUACUGAGCCUAAUGUCAAUGGGCCUCACAUUUAAUUCAACCUAUUCGAGCAAUUCAGCUAAAACAUUGUCAAGUAAAAAAAAAGGGCUUUUGUAAUACUGAGGAUGCAAUGCAAAUAACCUAUCGACAUUUGCCUUAAUCCUAUCAUAAUACAGGCAGUACAACUUGGGAUUGCCUUCUUUAAUAAUAUCCAUGAAGUCAUUCAUGUUUGACUGAAGAAGUGCAUCGUCGUAGCAUUCCUUUUGGAUCUUAUACACCCUACCUGUGUUGAUAGUUCCCCAUUUGCAAUAGUCUCCUUAUUUUGACAUAUAAUCUCGUAUAAUCUUUGCUUCCUUAGCAGCCUAAACAUUGGAUGAUACACUUCGGAAGUGUAUUCAUGGCCUAGGUCAAAAUAACGUGGAUUACGCGUCUAGAAUCGGUCACUAAAUUGCAAUAAAACCAUGUAAAUGGGGUAUCCUGUCUUCGUGCAAUUCUAAUGCUACUAAUAUGUAGGUAUUUUAGUUGUAAAUUUAUUUAGGAUUUUCUGAAGAUAUGAUUCUUUGAGUAUGGAGCAUCUGGAAUAUGUUAUAAAGAUGUUCUUGGCACUUAUUUUGAAUAUUAUUUUGAGAUGGCAUUUUGAAAAACAAAAAGAUAACUAAAUUGUGGAAGAGUUUAAGAAAAAUAAUUAAUCAAGUACUAAACAAGUUCAUAAAAGAAUUGGCUCAAGUAUGAAUAUUUAUAGGCAUUUCGAAUGAAUGACAUUUUGAUAAACAAGAGCUCACACUAGGUUAUAGGACUUAACACUUAGCUAUAGGAGUAUUCACACCCCUCAUCUUCUGUCUAUUGAUGGCAUUAGUGUUAGUUUUACUAUUCAAGAGCCUUUUAUAUAAGAUUCCUAAUAGGGCUAAUUGAUUAGAAUAUAGGUGUAAAAAAGAAAAGUCAGACACUUGCGGAUCUGACAGAGUCCAUGUAUAAAACUAUGGGUACUGGGCUGAGACAGCCCGGCACCUGACAGAAACUUUUUUUUUUAAAACAUGUCAGGUGCCGGGCUGUCUCAGCCCGGCACCUGACAUCCAAUUGAGUGAAUUGCAAUUCAUCCAAUUGAGUCAAUUGAGUGAAUUGCAAUUCACUUUAUUUGUUAAGCUAGUUGAUAAAUGCAAUUCACUUUAAUUAGUUUAGUGGAUUAAUUAGUUUAAUUAAUUGAGUGAAGUAAUUUUAAGAGAUUCGAUUAUAUGCAUUUAAUUAAGGUGAUGGUUUAAUUUGUUAUUUAUUAAAUAUUCAUUUAUUUGUUAUAAAUUAUUUAAUUAUAAUGCAUUAUUUGUUGUUAUUUGUUAUUAUUUGUUGUUAUUUAAUUACACUUUAUUUGUUGUUAUUUGUUAUACUAUUUGUUAUUUAAUUACACUUUAGUUGUUGUUAUUUGUUAUAUUAUUUUUUAAUAUUUCUUAUAAUUAUAGAAUCGCAAUUAUUUAUUUAUUUGUUAUAAAUUAUAUAUAUUUGAUUCAAUUAAUUAAUUAUUCAAAUAAGCAUAUUAAUGAGGUUCUAAAAUGCUAUCAACACUCGUCUCUAAUAGGUAUAACAUGUCAAGUGAUAAUUGCUUGGUGAUUCAAGUAUAUUGGGGUGGAAAAAUUAUAAACGAAGGAGGGUCAAUUUCAUAUGAUCCUUCUAUACCGAAACAAGUGUUGUUCCUUACAGAGAUGGUAGGUUAUGAUGAUUUGGUAGACAAAAUAUAUAAUCUUUUGGGUUUAGAUCGAAAUCUUCUGGGUAGACAAAAUAUACAAUCUUCAUUACAUGUUUGCUAAAUAUCAAAUAUUAUAAUAUGGGAAUUUAGCCUUUUAUUAUUUGAAUGCUUAUCGUUAUUUUUAUAUUUAGCCAUUUCACCGUUGUCACGCUAUGCAUUUUUUCCUCUUUUUUUGGUCCUUUUUUUAUAUAUUGCACAAUAAAUUUAGUUUUAUAAAAUUAUAGUGAACAUUAAAAAUUACAUAAAAAUUCUAACAAAUUAUUUCUCAACAAUUUGAGAACUACAUCUUAUUACAGAAUGAAUGGUAUAUUUCGUUUGAAAAACAGUUUCGUAGUUUAACAUCCUAUAGGAGUAAUUAGUGAUUUUGCACAAAUCUAUUUUCUUCUUUUUCUUACGUUUCAACUUUGAAAUGUAAAUUAAUUAACUUAAAUUUCAAAGUAUUUAGUACUUCAGGUCGACUCAACUUUUUAUUAAACCUUUUUUUCUUGUUUUGGUUUUUGAUUUUUUUUUUGUAUGGGAGAUUUAUGAAAUUAUCCUCACAAUACAAACUACGAAAAAAAUUCAGAACUUAAAUAGAUGUUCUAUUAGUAUGCAUUAUGUUCAAUUGGUAAAAUGCAAAAAUUUAAUAUAAGUACCAACACGAGAAUGAAUACAAAAUCUAAAAUGUUUAGGGUUUAGGGUUAGGGUUUAGGGUUUUGGGUUUAGGGUUCAAGGUUCAGGGUUUAGGGUUUAGGGUUUUGAUCUUUAGGGUUUAGGGUUUUAGGGUUUAGGCUUUAGGCUUUAGGGAUUAGGGAUUAGGGUUUUUAGGUUUAGGGUUUAGGGUUUAGGGUUUUGAUCUUUUGCAUGAUGCAACGUGUCACAAAUUGCGAUUGAUAAUUACUAAUCAUAUCACAAUUUCAGCCUUACGAUAUUUUCUUGAGAAUAAAAUGAGAAGCUAUAAAUGAAAGAGGAAAAUUCAAAAUUAAAAGAAUAUGAAUACUAGAUAAUUGUAUUUCAAGUCAACUGAUUUGAAUUCUACUGGGAAAGUUUCACUAAGAAUUUUUUGUUACUCGACACAUUUUGUUUGGUAGACUUAUUAAUUUUUUUUUUUUUUUCAGAAAAAUUCGGUUAGGUACCGGGCUGACACAGUCCGACACCUGAUAGAUUUUUUAAAAAAAAAUUCCUGUCAGGUACGAUUCUAUAAUUAUAAGAAAUAAUAACAAAUAAUAUAACAAAUAACAACAAAUAAAGGGUAAUUAAAUAACCACGAAUAAUAACAAAAGUAUAACAAAUAACAACAAAUAAAGUGUAAUUAAAUAACAACAAAUAAUGCAUUAUAAUUAAAUAAUUAAAUCAUUUAUAACAAAUAAAUGAAUAUUUAAUAAAUAACAAAUUAAACCUAAUUCAUCACCUUAAUUAAAUGCAUUUAAUCGAAUCUCUUAAAAUUAAUUCACUCAAUUAAUUAAACUAAUUAAUUCACUAAACUAAUUAAAGUGAAUUGCAUUUAUCAACUAGCUUAACAAAUAAAGUGAAUUGCAAUUCACUCAAUUGAGUGAAUGUGAAUUUCACAUUCACACAGCCCGGCACUUGACAUCUUUUUUUAAAAAAAAAUGUGUCAGGAGCCGGAUAGCCCGGCACCUGACAUGUUUAAAAAAAAAAAAAAGGUUUCUGUCAGGUGCCGGGCUACCAUAGUUUUAUACACACGCUCCAUCAGAUCCGUAAGUGUCUGACUUUUCUUUUUUACACCUAUAUUCUAAUCAAUUAGCCUCCUAAUAGGGCCGUGUUAGUGGGCUCUAACUUUGUCAGCCAAUGUGGCAUUAUUUUAUUGGCUAUGAGGAUUUUAUCUUUCCCAGGCACUUCAAUGGAAUCCACGUGAUGUCAUCUUAUUGGCCAAAAGACUAUAAGGGACUCAGAGUUGUUGAAAAUUUAAAAAAGCUUUACUUUUUUUUUUGUUGGAUACAACAUCCUUUCAUAAAUGCUGAGUAUGCUGCACUUUAAAAUUAUCCAUAAAGUUGAGUGAAAAAAUUAUUCAAUAAUUUUCUUUGUGGGAAUCAUUUCUUAUAGUAUAUCCACACGUUUGUCUAGUUGUUUAAUUAAAUUCAUAAUUAAUUAUAACAAAUAAUUUCUCAUUGUUACUAUGAUAUAUAAGUUGAAUUAAAAGGGAAUUUGAAACAGAAUUGUUAGUAGUUAGUUGAGUAUGGCUCUUGGAAAAUUGGACAUUAGAAUUUUAGAUAAUCAUCAAUGGGAUGAAAUGCGUAUCUGACAAUAAUUAUGCCAGAUUAGUUGGUUAUGUGUUUAAUUAGGGAGUCCACUGCUAUUUAAAUUCAUAAUUAUAUAUUAUUUGAACAUGAUCUGGAAUUGACUUCGGCAAAAAAUACUCUAAUUGAUUUCACAUUUGAAUUCUUCUAAAGUUAACAUAUUUGAAUCGGUGCAUUGUAACUUACUCAUUAGUGAAGCUCAAGUCAAGGAGGGUAGGCCCUUUUUAUCUUCUGCUUCUGCAAAAUCCUAAGUAUUAGUAGUUUACACAACUCAAAUACUGUUCAAAAUAAAUAGGAAAAAGGAACGACUUAUGACUUAAUCGCUAGAAACAUGAAGUUUGUGUCUAACCCAAUAACAAAAGUUUCGUAAGAAACUAGAGUGCUCCAGAUGUGAUGCAUGAUCUGGAUUUCAACCUUCUUGAUCACAACUGUAAUUCGUCCAUGUCAACCUUGGACCUGAGAAUCCCAAUUUAAUCAAGGCCCUGUUUGGAACUGAGUUUUUUACCUAAGUUUUUUAGCUACUAGUUUUUUAAUAACUUUUGCUACAGGAACCCCAAAAAACUUCUCAAAGUUUUUUACCUACACACUCCAAAAAAUCUAAUACACAAAAAAUUUCCCAAAAACUUUUCUUCUUUUUCCUCCCUCACCCACCACGCCAGCCACCACCUCUCCCGGCGCCGGUCACCUCAAAAUUAUUUUUUUCUGUCCCUCACCCUCACCCCCUCUCCUCCCCCGCCACCCUCCCCCUCCUGCAAGGUGCGAUCUAGUCUCGCGACCAGAUCGCAAAAGGAGAGGGGGAGGGUGGCGGAGGAGGGAGAGGGGAAGAGGGGAGGGGUGGCAGGCCUAAGAAAAAAAGCUAAAAAAAAUUAAUGGUCCAUGGCCGGCCUUCCUCUGUCGUCGGAGUGCGAGGGAGAGGGGAGAGAGAGAGGGGAGGAAAGGGGUGGCGGUGGAGGGAGAGGGAGGGGUGGCGGGUAGAGAGGGUUAGCGGGGGAGAGGGGAGGAAAGGGAUGGUGGGCAGAGGGGGUGGUGGGGGAGGGAAAGAGAGGGGUAGCUGACCUAGGGGGAUGGCGGGCAGAGGAGAGAGGAAAGGGAUGGUGGAAAAGUUUGGGGGUGGCGAGGCAGAGGUAACGGGGAAGGGGGAGGGGGAAGGAAGAAAAAGAAGAAGAAGAAGAGAGGAAAGAAGAGAAAAAGGAAAGAAAAAGAGAAAAAGAAAAGGGAAAAAAUGUUUUUCACCUUACAAAAACUUCUAUAAAAUUUUUUACAUCACAAAAACUUCUACAAAAAAGUUUUUCACCUUACAAAAACUUUUACAAAAUUUUUUCAAAAACUUCUACAGUGCACUACAGUAAAGUUUUAGACAAACUCCUAAAAAACUUAGGUUCCAAACAGACCCCAAGUUUCAUUGGUCAAAGUCCUACAAAUGAAGACUUGGACCUAUCAAGCCUGUCUCACUAGCUCUAUGUAAACCACUUUCAGGCGAGGCAAGUCCACUUGAAGACCCCCCUUGCUUCUUUUUUUUUGGCAAAAAUCCCCAAACCGAGGGAGGGGGUGCCAACCCCAAUUUUAUUGGAGAAAAAAACAAAAUAAGAGUGCCAACAACACAAUUGUCAACAAGACAGCAUGCGUAAAAGAAACUAAAGGACCUAUUCCCUUACAAUCUGACGACAAAUACACGGGAAUUUGUCCUUGUCUAAAACUAAAGAUGCCCUGACUAAAGACGACAGCUAAUGAGGAGAAUUGUGCAAAACAUCUUCAUUGAGUUGCAAGCCCACUAGCUUAUCCGCAGUAACAUUUAUCUCUCAAUAAACAUGAACAACUGAGGCAUCCAACUCUUGUAAGAGCCCCCUAAUCCUUCACAGAACAUUACAUAAUGGCCAUUUGGUAAGCGCUCCGGAACAAACCAUGCGAACCAGGACUUCGUAAUCCAUCUCCAUCAACAAAUGAUUACAAUCCCUAUCUUGGCAAAGUAACAGACCAUGCAUCAGUGAGAGACUUUCAGCUAUCAACACAUCAACAUCUCCAAAUUCUUUAUAGAAAGUAAAAAUGAGCUCGCCAUUAUGAUCUCUUAGAAUAACCCCCUCCCCCCGCUCUUUUUCCAACUGGCAUAUUAGUGUCUGUGUUCAGUUUGACAUGAAAUUGAGGGAGAUGAAGCCAUUUCACUGCUAUAACUGAAUGAUGAUAACGCCGAGAGGAUGCAAAGCCAGCCCAAUGAUCAUCCAUGUCCCACGAAAAUGACUUGCAGAGAAAAUCCUGGCAGCCCCCAGUUGUUCAAUAAAAUGAUUAACUCUAGCAAUCACCUCAUGAACAUUAAACCUAACUCCCUCAAAUCUUGCACGAUUGCAUAUUUAGAGGAGCAAAAGUGCUAAAUAACUUGCUCAAAAUAAUAGCAUCAAAUAGCUAAGAAAUUAACACAAUACAAUCAUAAAAAGUUCAACCAAAACCAAAGGCAUAAACUUUAGAAACAUGUAUUGAAACACAAAUCCAAACUUAUAUAAUAACAAAUUAUGAAAUCAAAUACAAGAGAGAAAGUAGUAGAAGAGAUAUCACCAUUGUCACAUGAGAUCAACCUCUCCAUCUUGCUCCUUAAACUUCAUCCAAGUUUAGCUACAACUACAAGAAAGAUAAACUACACUAAUUAUACUAAUUUACCCUAACUAAUGAACUAAGGAAAUUCUAGUGAAGACUGCAUUUUUGUGGAGUUUCUCUAGCCUCCCAAAGUUAUGAAAAUUUUCUCCAAAGCCUCUAUUUAUAGAGGAAUCCAAGAUACAAAUAAGAUGUUAAAGUUGAUGUGAAAUGUUCCUUGAGAUUCUCAAAAGAUGCAUCUACAAGUCUCCAUGUAUUUCUUUUACAGAUGCAGCCGAAAUUCUAAGUUGGGAAUAGCUGAAAAAGUUGUAUGAAUGUAGAACAAGUUGAUAUGCAAGUUGUAGAAAAACAAGGGAGAAUACGCAGGCUUUGAAUACGCUAGCUUAUGCCAUGUAUUCAGAGCUCACGUUUUCACUUCUGCGAGUUUAGAACCACUUUAACUGAUAUUUUCUUGAUGGUGGAGGCUGAACUAACUCUUUUCCAAAACAUGAAAGUUUUAGGCCUUUGAGUUAGCUUUCCAAUGUCUCAAGAAUCAUCCAAUUUGGAGCUCUUUAGACUGAGAAAUACCAAAAAACUCUCGACUGGUCAAUCCCCUAUUUCACCUUUUGGCAACAAAUAUGACCCACUAUAUUUCGACUUCUUGACUUAAAAAACUCAUGAAGUGGAUAUCAAUGUCUCAUAAGAAAUGUAGAGUUAUGUGUUAGUUUUAAAAUGGCACAAGAAUCACUUCAAUCCGAUGCUUGUAUCUCAAGAUAUAGCCAAAAUACCAAAAAGUGUAAAAGCUAUCUUAAUUUGUAUUUCAUCCUUUGAAUAUUUUGCACUUCAUGUCUUCUUUAAAUCACUUCAAAUCAUCAACAAUCAUCCAAAUAUCUUCUCAAUUCACUCCAUUUGAUGAUUGAAUCAUUAAACUUACAAAAACAUGAAGUUUUCACCAUUAAAAUUCAUAGAAAGACAAUUUUUGAUAGUUUUCACUUUAAGGUGGUAUGAUAUCUUUUAAUUGGUCAACUUUAGGAAAUAUUGCUAUUUGAUUGCUUCAAUAUGGUAAGUAUAUAAUUGCACUCCUUUCACUGUUCACGAAUCGUUUCCUCACUUGUCAAUUGUUUUUGGUUAAAUAAAACUAGAAAUGCAUGAAAAAUAAAGAGUUGGGUGUAAAUAUCGUGAAAUCCUACCAUUUUUGGUGUUUUUCACAAACAACCAUCAAAGGAUAGUUAUUUUUAUCAAAUAUAUGGUCUAAAAUAUGUUUUUUUUAAUUUGUAUUACAAUGAUAUACUAUAUUUUUCACAACCAUCUAUCAAAGGAUAGUUAUUUAAUCAAAUAGUUGGUCUAAAAAAUUUUCUAAAACAGUCUUGAAGGCAAUCAUCUAAAUACAGCUCUAUUGAUUUAAAUUCGUAUAUUAAUUUUUUAAAAUGCACUUUUUGAUGUAAAAUUGUUGUAUAAAAUUUAUCCAUAUGCUUGCCCACUAUCAAUAUGGAAUUUAUUCUAAGUGCAAAUGAAAUGUCUAAACUAUAGUUUACAUACAACAUAUUUAAUGUCAGAGUAUAAAGUCCAACAUUAAAAAUAUUAAACAUUUGAAAAGAAACAUAUUAAAUAGGGAUAAUUUUCGAAACCUCCCCUGAGGUUUUUGACUAUUGUAGAAAGCUCUUUUCUAGUCUAAAAAAUUACAUUUUGCCUCCCAUAUGAUUAACAUUUCAAUAACAAUAUAAACCCAAUAUGCUAACUUUCUCCUCAAAAAUCCUAAAAUACCCCUUUGUUACUUAGAAGGGGGAAAAACAAACUAAUAAAAUUCUUUCACGUUGCAACUAUUGUAAACGACAUAAUCAUCAACCUAACGAACUCAAUAAACCACUUUACCUUAAUCUCCAUAUUCUUACAAUUUUGACAGCCUACUAUUGCCGCCUCAAAGCUUCUCAUGCAAAUCAACUGUGACAAUUAAAGUUUGCAGUCAACCUAAUAUUUAGCCUCUUUUUUUUGCCUAAAUUCAAUGUUUGAAUUGACCAAUGUCACUAUUCAACCUUGUUGUUAGUAAAAUAAUGUAACCUACCAAGAAUACUAACACGGAGCAACCAAAAGUAAUACUAGAGACCACAUUCCAUGUCUCUAGGCAAAUUUGAUUAUAGUAUUUAUAUCUCAAAAUUCUUUUUUACACAAUUGGUAUAAUAUUGUAACCUUCUUUAAUCCAUAUUUCCUUUUUAGCUAUCAUUUUUAUUUUCUUGUAUGUACUCUGUAUCACCGCUAUCUUUUUCACCUUCAUUUAGUUUGACAACAAAUAUGAUCCAGCAACUUGCCAUUCUGUAAUUUCAAUUCCAUAAUACUUAUAAAAAAGAAAACAAAAAUGAGAGAGUGUGUAUAUUUGCGAAAAAAGAGAUGUAGGAGAAAGAAGGAAGGAGAAAAAGUUGGGAGAUAGAACAAGAGUUUAGUUUGUGUGGCAAUAGUUGCUUUAGAAUAAAAGACGAAUUGUAAUUGUAGAGUUUUUUUGUUUGUAGAAAUUAUUUAUAGUGAAGGAUAUUAUAGUCAUUUUACUACAUAAAGGGAGGUUAGUAUAACUAUUCAAACUUGAAGGGAGGUGAGUGAAAUUAUCAGAAACCUUAGGGGAGGUUUCUGAAAUUAUCCCUAUUAAAUAAAGUCCAACAUUAAAAAUAUAAAACUUAGAAAAGAACAAACCUACUAAAGUGCCCUAAGCACACUAAAUACCAAAAAAAAUUAAAAGAAGCAAACAAAUUUCUUUAAUUAGUAUAUAGUAGUGUUACUGGAUGCCAUUGUUCAUCAUCAAACAAUAUGUAUGAAAUUUCAAAUUCUAUUGAAAUUUGAAUUAUAAUAACACAUUCCAUGAGUCAAGAAGUUUUUUUAAGGAGGAAAAAUAUAUUUACAUACUUGAACCAAAACUACCAAAAAGAAGAUUUGGAAUAUUAUUGUUUCUGUGUUGAUUUGAUUGUUGGUUUUACUUUUCCUAAUCUAUGACAUUGCCUUUAUUUUUAGUUUUGCCAACAUAAAUAAUUUGGAAUAUUGUCAUUUCCCUUUAGUUACGGUCUUUUAUGUAAUUUUUGAAUUAUAGUUAUUUGUAAGUUUGGUAAGUUUUUAAUUUAAGGUAGUAUGUUAGAAUUGUUUUUAAUUGGUCAGCUUUAAGAAAUGCUGCUAUUUGAUAGUUUCAAUAUGGUAAGUAUAUAAUCAAUGCGGGUUGAAUGCCUUACCAAAGUAUGAGCCUAUAGAAUUCCCUUUUUUGUUCUUUUUUGUAAACUCGUAGGUAACCCCGUCUUGGCAUAUUUUCUACCACCUAUUACCAAAUUAAAUUCUCUAUCUUUACUUAUUUCUGUAUUAAAAGACCUUUAGUCUCUUCCAUAACUAACUUCUAAUCUUGAUAUAACAAGGGAUUCUAAUCCCUAGGAUCCUCUUAUUUCAUUUUUAAGCAAUUCUAAUCUAACUUGUAUUUACUUUCAUUUACUUUCUUGCAACCUACUACCUAGAUGGUUGGUUUUACCACCUAAUGGCUGGUUUUAUAUUUAUUUCUUUUGCUAUAUGGCCUGUUGUACCGCCUAACUAACUUCUAACUUUUAUGGCUGGUUGUACCGCCUAAACUAACACCUUUCAUGGCCAAUUUUACUGCCUAAUUAACUUUCUUCAUUUUUACCUCCUUAAAACUUUGAUUGUCUAGAUAAUAAGCAAGUGGUUGAAAUCAAGUGAUUGCCAUUUUUUAAAUCCCCGUGGGAUCGGCACCUAUUAUCCCUAUAUUCAAUAAACAAAUCGUGUACUUGCGGAAAUAGAAUAAUAAGGUUUUAAAAUUUGUGGUGUAGUAAAAGGCCCUACCAUAUCACAUAUAUUUGUAUAUUAAAAUGAUGUUCAAUUCCCUAUAUCGUAGGUUAUUGAGUUGGUUAUUCCCACGUUCUGCUAAGUGGAUGUUCCAUAUUUUUGACAUGUGUACAUAUUCCCCUAAUUUAUUUGGUUAUAUUUAAAUUAUUUUAUUUUUAUUAACAACAACUAAUCCUAUAUUGUUCCAUGUUUUAGGUGUAGUAUUUCUAUUGACAAUGAUUAAUCAUUUACCUUGUUGGGGGGAAGGUGUGACGACUUGAAAAUUUGCUUAUAUUUCUUAUAAUUUCCGCUUAUUUUGAAUAAAUUAUUAUAUAAUUCCUUUACUACUAAUUUUAUUCCCUCAAUAGUUGUAAUAUAUAAUAGAAUCGAGAGUUUUAUUUUUACUUUUAUAGCUAGAGCAAAUUAGGGUUUUUGUGCAUUUUGGUAAUGUGAUCAUUUUGUGAGGUAUGUGUACUAAAUUUGGUGGAUAAGAGUGAGUAUUAGGUAAGAGGAAGUGUGUAAUUAGAAGUGCUAAUGAUAAGUUAGUGAAUCAUAAGUUAAAACACAAGUACGAGAGAGUUAAGGAAAAUAGGCUUGAACCGACGUGCACCGUCUGUUACCGAUUGAGUACACCACUUGACCACUACUUUCUUACCCUAAUCCUCUUGUUUUUAUUUCAUCUAAUCAGGCCUAAAUUAUCCCUAAAGCAGCCGAAAUCCUUGACCAAAGAAAAGGGAGAAAAGAAAAAAAAAAGAAGGAAUCUUGAGUUGCCAAGUGUUGGCAACCAAGAAGAUGUUUGACCAAGCUAAGUCCUUUCUUCUUAUUUUUCAUUUUGGCUCAUUUUCUCUCAUUUUUCUGUCAUGGUAGCCGAACCUUAGGAGUGGAGAAAGAGAGAAGAAACUUUCAAUUUCAACCUUGAUUCUUCAUUGUUUGAGUUGAAUCACAAAAAUCUAAACCGAUUAAACUUGUAUCAAGGGUGUUAGGAAGCUUCGUGUGGUGAAUUUCUUUGGAAAAUUUGCUUGGUUCUUCACUUUUCAAGUAGUUUUGGAAGGUAUAAGUUCAUCCACUUCUUUUCUCUUCCUUAUUCUUGCUAAAUAUGCUAUAGAAGUUUUGAAUCUUGGAAUAUAUUGGAUGAUACUCUAGUUUGGUGUUGAUUAAUGAAUUUUCAGCUAGGGUUUGGAAAUUUUCAGCCUUGAUUAUGUUGUUUAACUAUCAAAUGUUGGUAUUGAACUUGGAUAUAGAAUUUGUGAGGUGAUUAAUGGCAUAAUUGUGACUUUUUAGCAUUAAAAGAUGAAUUUCCAGCUUUGAUGAGAAAAUUCCAGCUUUGGUAGUGGUUGAUUAUUUGCUAGAAAUAAGUUAUAUUUGGAUGGUUUUUAGCCUAGAUGAAGAGCUAUCUUGAUAUGCUUACUUGUGGUGUUUGAAUUGGGUUGAUUUGAGAAAAAACAUGAAACCUUAAAUGGCUGAAAAAAUGGAUAAAUACAAAGGGUAUGCUACCCAAAUUUUCGUUCGAGGGAUAAACGAGUGAACUUGGAACUUGAGCGGUGAUUCGUGGUCGAAUUGAACUUCGGUUGUUUAAAGUCUUCAAAUUUCUUUUAGUAGAAGUAUGUAAGCUGAAUUUUGCCAAAAACUCACACACUUUGUAAGGCGAGAGUAGCGACCACUAUAAAAUACGAUUUUUUAGUUUCUUCCGCCAAAUUGCGAACUUAAACGUUUUAAUCGCUUCUUUAUCGAAACUAAAAGAGCGAGCAUGAAUUUUCUAGAGUUUGAUAAGUAAAAUGAGUACUACUUAAACGAGUUUUAUUUAUUUAAUUUUCUUUAAGAGAAACUCCUAUAUUUUGAACCCUAAUUGAUUUCAAACUAUUAAACAGUAUUUUAUUGCAGAUUUUGACUCCAGCCAAGGAUUUGAACUUGAGCAUGGUUUUGAAAAAUAAUAACUCAUUGGUGAGUGUUUUUAAGUGCAUGAUUGAACUUGAUAUUUGAAAAAAAUACUUGACUUGUUUGGACGGACAAGGGUGUACUUUAUCGCACUUGCCCUAAUGUGAUUUCUUACUGUUUACUGGUUAUUAUUGACUUGAUAUACAUGUGUAUAACUUGAAUACUACCUGGAUCCUCACCCUAUUGGUUAGUCAGUAGAAUCAAGCCAGUAAGGGUUUGGUCGAUGAGACCGGUAAACCAUAGGUACUGUUUAUUGUUUAUUGUUUAUUGUUUAUUGUUUAUUGUAUAAUCCUUUGGAUAUGGUCCACUGGAUUCGGUAUACUCGAGUAUUCCCACCACUCUUAUUUUGGAGUUCGGGCUCGGUAGGGGGUUAAUUGGUGGAUGAAAAUUAGUGUAAAGUGGAGAUCUAUGGUCAUGGUUUUGCUUUUUUAAACGUUGACGGAGUGUCAAUGGGUUCGGAUCAAGUAAUGCAACGGGAAUUUGGCUUUUGAGAGCCACCUGUAUCCUUUUACUUUGAAAUGUUGUAUAUUUAGUCAAUUUGUUACUUGUAGUGUUAUUGUCUCUUUUAUGAACUUGUACGCUCGCUCAUUUUAAGAGUUCAAGUUUUACAUAAUGACUAAUUUGUUACUUGGGUCUGCAUGAAGUUUUGGAACCUCAUUGAACUUUGGCUCACUCUAUUAGUUUUAUUUUCCUUACAGGGGGGUACGAGCAUAGGCGUGAAGCUGGAAAGGCUAGUUUGUCUAGACUUUUAACUUUUGUAAUUCUUCUAGCGCUAGUGCUCAACUAGGGUUAGAAGUACAACUAGAACUUGAAUCUUUUGUUAUAUUCGGAUAUGUAUGAAUGGUUGAGAUAGAAAUGAAUGUACAUGUACGUUCCAAA